UGAACGCUGGCGGCGUACCUAAUACAUGCAAGUCGAGCGAACAGACGAGGAGCUUGCUCCUCUGACGUUAGCGGCGGACGGGUGAGUAACACGUGGAUAACCUACCUAUAAGACUGGGAUAACUUCGGGAAACCGGAGCUAAUACCGGAUAAUAUAUUGAACCGCAUGGUUCAAUAGUGAAAGACGGUUUUGCUGUCACUUAUAGAUGGAUCCGCGCCGCAUUAGCUAGUUGGUAAGGUAACGGCUUACCAAGGCGACGGUGCGUAGCCGACCUGAGAGGGUGAUCGGCCACACUGGAACUGAGACACGGUCCAGACUCCUACGGGAGGCAGCAGUAGGGAAUCUUCCGCAAUGGGCGAAAGCCUGACGGAGCAACGCCGCGUGAGUGAUGAAGGUCUUCGGAUCGUAAAACUCUGUUAUUAGGGAAGAACAAAUGUGUAAGUAACUAUGCACGUCUUGACGGUACCUAAUCAGAAAGCCACGGCUAACUACGUG
Molecule: ribosomal RNA, 495 nt
Filed under: uncultured bacterium
Lineage: Bacteria
Description: partial 16S ribosomal RNA
Rfam family: Bacterial small subunit ribosomal RNA
Source: RNAcentral